This 334-nucleotide long non-coding RNA is filed under the name Homo sapiens (human). RNAcentral's name for it is "HSALNT0363513". The record is from RNAcentral. Lineage: Eukaryota; Metazoa; Chordata; Mammalia; Primates; Hominidae.
AGACAGGAGUCUCACUCACGCCCAGGAUGGAGUGCGGUGGCACGAUCUCGGCUCACUGUAACUUCUGCCACCCUGGUUCAAGCGAUUCUUGUGCCUCAGUAGCUGGGACUACAGGCAUCUGCCACCAUGCCCAGCUAAUUUUUGUAUUUUUAGUAGAGACAGGGUUUUGCCACGUUGGCCAGGCUGGUCUCGAACUCCUGACCUCAAGUGAUCUGCCUGCCUCGGCCUCCCAAAGUGCUGGGAUUACAGGCGUGAGCCACCAUGCCCAGCCUGCCUGGCUGAUUUUUUAAAAUUUGUCGUUGAGGCAGGAGGAUCACUUGAGUCCAGGAGUUCG